RNAcentral lists this transfer RNA (74 nucleotides) under Hordeum vulgare. RNAcentral's name for it is "tRNA-Val". The record is from RNAcentral. Lineage: Eukaryota; Viridiplantae; Streptophyta; Magnoliopsida; Poales; Poaceae.
CGAGAAGGUCUACGGUUCGAAUCCGUAUAGCCCUAGUGUAAACGAGUUGCUCUACCGAACUGAGCUAUAGCCCU